UACGAAGGGUGCAAGCGUUACUCGGAAUUACUGGGUGUAAAGCGUGCGUAGGUGGUUUGUUAAGUCUGAUGUGAAAGCCCUGGGCUCAACCUGGGAACGGCAUUGGAAACUGGCUUACUAGAGUGCGGUAGAGGGGUGUGGAAUUCCCGGUGUAGCAGUGAAAUGCGUAGAUAUCGGGAGGAACAUCUGUGGCGAAGGCGACACCCUGGACCAGCACUGACACUGAGGCACGAAAGCGUGGGGAGCAAACAGG
RNAcentral lists this ribosomal RNA (253 nucleotides) under uncultured bacterium. Its description in RNAcentral is "partial 16S ribosomal RNA". It matches the Rfam family "Bacterial small subunit ribosomal RNA", at positions 524 to 776 of the family's 1533-position model. The record is from RNAcentral.